AUUGAACGCUGGCGGCAGGCCUAACACAUGCAAGUCGAGCGGUAGAGAGAAGCUUGCUUCUCUUGAGAGCGGCGGACGGGUGAGUAAUGCCUAGGAAUCUGCCUAGUGGUGGGGGAUAACGUUCGGAAACGGACGCUAAUACCGCAUACGUCCUACGGGAGAAAGCGGGGGAUCUUCGGACCUCGCGCCAUUAGAUGAGCCUAGGUCGGAUUAGCUAGUUGGUGAGGUAAUGGCUCACCAAGGCGACGAUCCGUAACUGGUCUGAGAGGAUGAUCAGUCACACUGGAACUGAGACACGGUACAGACUCCUACGGGAGGCAGCAGUGGGGAAUAUUGGACAAUGGGCGAAAGCCUGAUCCAGCCAUGCCGCGUGUGUGAAGAAGGUCUUCGGAUUGUAAAGCACUUUAAGUUGGGAGGAAGGGUAGUAACCUAAUACGUUGCUACCUUGACGUUACCGACAGAAUAAGCACCGGCUAACUUCGUGCCAGCCGCCGCGGUAA
Molecule: ribosomal RNA, 500 nt
Filed under: uncultured bacterium
Lineage: Bacteria
Description: partial 16S ribosomal RNA
Rfam family: Bacterial small subunit ribosomal RNA
Source: RNAcentral